RNAcentral lists this ribosomal RNA (940 nucleotides) under Hypholoma capnoides. Its description in RNAcentral is "LSU rRNA". It matches the Rfam family "Eukaryotic large subunit ribosomal RNA", at positions 38 to 964 of the family's 3401-position model. The record is from RNAcentral. Lineage: Eukaryota; Fungi; Basidiomycota; Agaricomycetes; Agaricales; Strophariaceae.
GCAUAUCAAUAAGCGGAGGAAAAGAAACUAACAAGGAUUCCCCUAGUAACUGCGAGUGAAGCGGGAAAAGCUCAAAUUUAAAAUCUGGCGGUCUUUGGCCGUCCGAGUUGUAAUCUAGAGAAGUGUUAUCCGCGCUGGACCGUGUACAAGUCUCCUGGAAUGGAGCGUCAUAGAGGGUGAGAAUCCCGUCUUUGACACGGACUGCCAGGGCUUUGUGAUGCGCUCUCAAAGAGUCGAGUUGUUUGGGAAUGCAGCUCAAAAUGGGUGGUAAAUUCCAUCUAAAGCUAAAUAUUGGCGAGAGACCGAUAGCGAACAAGUACCGUGAGGGAAAGAUGAAAAGAACUUUGGAAAGAGAGUUAAACAGUACGUGAAAUUGCUGAAAGGGAAACGCUUGAAGUCAGUCGCAUUGUGUGGGAAUCAACCUUGCUUUUGCUGGGCGUACUUUCCAUAUGAUGGGUCAGCAUCAAUUUUGACCGUUGGAUAAAGUUCAAGGGAAUGUGGCAUCUUCGGAUGUGUUAUAGCCUUUGGUCGCAUACAACGAUUGGGAUUGAGGAACUCAGCACGCCGAAAGGCCGGGUCUUGUACCACGUUCGUGCUUAGGAUGCUGGCAUAAUGGCUUUAAUCGACCCGUCUUGAAACACGGACCAAGGAGUCUAACAUGCCUGCGAGUAUUUGGGUGGAAAACCCGAGUGCGUAAUGAAAGUGAAAGUUGAGAUCCUUGUCAUGGGGAGCAUCGACGCCCGGACCAGACCUUUUGUGACGGAUCUGCGGUAGAGCAUGUAUGUUGGGACCCGAAAGAUGGUGAACUAUGCCUGAAUAGGGUGAAGCCAGAGGAAACUCUGGUGGAGGCUCGUAGCGAUUCUGACGUGCAAAUCGAUCGUCAAAUUUGGGUAUAGGGGCGAAAGACUAAUCGAACCAUCUAGUAGCUGGGUUCCUGCGA